UACGGAAGGCAGCAGUGGGGAAUAUUGCACAAUGGGCGAAAGCCUGAUGCAGCUAUGCCGCGUGUAUGAAGAAGGCCUUAGGGUUGUAAAGUACUUUCAUCGGGGAGGAAAAAACAAAACUAAUAAUUUUAUUUCUUGACGUUACCCGAAAAAGAAGCACCGGCUAACUCCGUGCCAGCAGCCGCGGUAAUACGGAGGGUGCUAGCGUUAAUCAGAAUUACUGGGCGUAAAGAGCACGUAGGUGGUUUUUUUAAAGUCAGAUGUGAAAUCCCUGGGCUUAACCUGGAACUGCAUUUUGAAACUGAAAUACUAGAGUAUCGUAGAGGGAGGUAGAAUUCUAGGUGUAGCGGUGAAAUGCGUAGAUAUCUGGAGGAAUACCUGUGGCGAAAGCGGCCUCCUAAACGAAUACUGACACUGAGGUGCGAAAGCGUGGGGAGCAAACAGGGAUUAGAUACC
This 456-nucleotide ribosomal RNA is filed under the name uncultured bacterium. Its description in RNAcentral is "bacterial SSU rRNA". It matches the Rfam family "Bacterial small subunit ribosomal RNA", at positions 340 to 786 of the family's 1533-position model. The record is from RNAcentral.